CCGGGGGGGGCAGCUACACAUGCAGUCGAGCGGCAGCGGGGAGUAGCUUGCUACUUUGCCGGCGAGCGGCGGACGGGUGAGUAAUGCUUGGGAACUUGCCUUUAGGAGGGGGAUAACCACGGGAAACUGUGGCUAAUACCGCAUAAUGUCUACGGACCAAAGCAGGGGCUCUUCGGACCUUGCACCUAGAGAUAGGCCCAAGUGAGAUUAGCUAGUUGGUGGGGUAAAGGCCCACCAAGGCGACGAUCUCUAGCUGUUCUGAGAGGAUGAUCAGCCACACUGGGACUGAGACACGGCCCAGACUCCUACGGGAGGCAGCAGUGGGGAAUAUUGCACAAUGGGGGAAACCCUGAUGCAGCCAUGCCGCGUGUGUGAAGAAGGCCUUCGGGUUGUAAAGCACUUUCAGUGGUGAGGAAGGAUGUAAGAUUAAUACUCUUGCAUAUUGACGUUAGCCACAGAAGAAGCACCGGCUAACUCCGUGCCAGCAGCCGCGGUAAU
Molecule: ribosomal RNA, 498 nt
Filed under: Pseudidiomarina andamanensis
Lineage: Bacteria; Pseudomonadati; Pseudomonadota; Gammaproteobacteria; Alteromonadales; Idiomarinaceae
Description: bacterial SSU rRNA
Rfam family: Bacterial small subunit ribosomal RNA
Source: RNAcentral